AUACGAAAGGUGCAAGCGUUGUUCGGAUUUACUGGGCGUAAAGAGAUCGUAGGUGGUUUAUUAAGUCGGAUGUGAAAUCCCGGGGCUCAACCCCGGAACUGCAUUCGAUACUGGUAGACUAGAGUUUGGGAGGGGUAAGCUGAAUUCCGUGUGUAGCAGUGAAAUGCGUAGAUAUACGGAGGAACACCUGAGGCGAAGGCGGCUUACUGGACCAAUACUGACACUGAGGAUCGAAAGCGUGGGUAGCAAACAGGAUUAGAAACCCCUGUAGUCC
RNAcentral lists this ribosomal RNA (274 nucleotides) under uncultured bacterium. RNAcentral's name for it is "partial 16S ribosomal RNA". It matches the Rfam family "Bacterial small subunit ribosomal RNA", at positions 523 to 796 of the family's 1533-position model. The record is from RNAcentral.